Molecule: long non-coding RNA, 103 nt
Organism: Sapajus apella (tufted capuchin)
Lineage: Eukaryota; Metazoa; Chordata; Mammalia; Primates; Cebidae
Exons: 3
Source: RefSeq, a predicted model, not a curated record
UUUUUAAAAUGCAGAAGAAAAUGUAGGCAAUAACAUCCAGGGCAUAGGCAUAAGCAAGGACUUCAUGACAAAAACACCAAAAGCAUUGGCAGCAAAAACCAAA